Molecule: ribosomal RNA, 545 nt
Filed under: Saturnispora silvae
Lineage: Eukaryota; Fungi; Ascomycota; Pichiomycetes; Pichiales; Pichiaceae
Description: eukaryotic LSU rRNA
Rfam family: Eukaryotic large subunit ribosomal RNA
Source: RNAcentral
AAACCAACAGGGAUUGCCUCAGUAGCGGCGAGUGAAGCGGCAAAAGCUCCAUUUUGAAAGCUCUUCGGAGCGUUGUAGAUUGGUGGGAAGCUAACGGCUGGUGGGAGACCAAGUCCUCUGGAACGAGGCGCCAUAGAGGGUGAGAGCCCCGUGUGUCUCCUUUACCGACCUUUCAGCCCCCUCCGCGGAGUCGAGUUGUUUGGGAAUGCAGCUCUAAGUGGGUGGUAAAUUCCAUCUAAGGCUAAAUAUUGGCGAGAGACCGAUAGCGAACAAGUACAGUGAUGGAAAGAUGAAAAGCACUUUGAAAAGAGAGUGAAACAGUACGUGAAAUUGUUGAAAGGGAAGGGUAUUUGGCCCGACAUGGGUCCUAUGCACCGUUGCCUCUCGUGGGCGGCGCUCUGCUUGGGCCUGGGCCAGCGUCAGUUUGGAGGGGGCGAGAAGGGUUUUGGGGAGUUGCCUAGCAAUUCCCCUUUGCUAGAUUGCCCCACACCGGACUGAGGACCGCCAUCUGUAGGAUGCUGGCACAACGGCCAAAUACCGCGGCG